RNAcentral lists this ribosomal RNA (465 nucleotides) under uncultured bacterium. RNAcentral describes it as "partial 16S ribosomal RNA". It matches the Rfam family "Bacterial small subunit ribosomal RNA", at positions 28 to 507 of the family's 1533-position model. The record is from RNAcentral.
GACGAACGCUGGCGGCGUGCUUAACACAUGCAAGUCGAACGGAAAGGCCCUGCUUGCUGGGUACUCGAUUGGUGAACGGUUGAGUAACACGUUUGGGAUCUGCCCUGCACUUCGGGAUAAGCCUGGGUAACUGGGUCUAAUACCGGAUAGGAGCCAUUUUUAGUGUGAUUGUUGGAAAGUUUUUUCGGUGUAGGAUGAGCUGGCGGCCUAUCAGCUUGUUGGUGGGGUAAUGGCAUACCAAGGCGGCGACGGGUAGCCGGCCUGGGAGUGUGGACGGCAACAUCGGGACUGAGACACGGACCAGACCCCUACGCGAGGGAGAGGUGGCAGUGGUGACUAUAGGGGCGUAAGCGUGAUGCAGCGACGGCGAGUGGGCGAGGGUGACGAAGGGGUUGUAGUCGCAUAUCGCUAGGGCCGAAGAUGUUUGUGACAGUACCUAGAGAAGAAGCUCCGGCUAACUCCGUG